UUCGUACUCCCUCCGUUCGGAAUUACUUGUCGUGAAAAUGGAUGUAUCUAGAUGUAUUUGAUACAUCCAUUUCUGCAACAAGUAAUUUCGAACGGAGGGAGUAUUUU
Triticum aestivum (bread wheat) is the source of this 107-nucleotide non-coding RNA. Lineage: Eukaryota; Viridiplantae; Streptophyta; Magnoliopsida; Poales; Poaceae. The record is from Rfam.